RNAcentral lists this non-coding RNA (31 nucleotides) under Mus musculus (house mouse). The record is from RNAcentral. Lineage: Eukaryota; Metazoa; Chordata; Mammalia; Rodentia; Muridae.
UAGAGAAGGCAAUCCAGGUCGAUGCAGAAUU